This 498-nucleotide ribosomal RNA is filed under the name uncultured bacterium. RNAcentral describes it as "partial 16S ribosomal RNA". It matches the Rfam family "Bacterial small subunit ribosomal RNA", at positions 30 to 523 of the family's 1533-position model. The record is from RNAcentral.
AUUGAACGCUGGCGGCAUGCCUUACACAUGCAAGUCGAACGGUAACAGGUCUUCGGAUGCUGACGAGUGGCGAACGGGUGAGUAAUACAUCGGAACGUGCCUAGUAGUGAGGGAUAACUACUCGAAAGAGUGGCUAAUACCGCAUGAGAUCUACGGAUGAAAGCAGGGGAUCGCAAAACCUUGUGCUACUAGAGCGGCCGAUGGCAGAUUAGGUAGUUGGGGGGAUAAAAGCUUACCAAGCCGACGAUCUGUAGCUGGUCUGAGAGGACGAUCGGCCAAACUGUGACUGAGACACGGCCCAGACUCCUACGGGAGGCAGCAGUGGGGAAUUUUGGACAAUGGGCGAAAGCCUGAUCCAGCAAUGCCGCGUGCAGGAUGAAGGCCUUCGGGUUGUAAACUGCUUUUGUACGGAACGAAAAGCCCCGGGUUAAUACCCUGGGGUCAUGACGGUGCCGUAAGAAUAAGCACCGGCUAACUACGUGCCAGCCGCCGCCGUAA